Molecule: ribosomal RNA, 433 nt
Filed under: uncultured bacterium
Lineage: Bacteria
Description: partial 16S ribosomal RNA
Rfam family: Bacterial small subunit ribosomal RNA
Source: RNAcentral
AACGAACGCUGGCGGCAUGCCUAACACAUGCAAGUCGAACGAGACCGUCCGGUCUAGUGGCGCACGGGUGCGUAACGCGGGGGAACCUGCCCUUAGGUUCGGAAUACCUCCCCGAAAGGGAUCCUAAUGCCGGUUAAUGUCUUCGGGCCAAAGAUGUAUUGCGUUUGGGUGGGCCCGCGUUGGAUUAGGUAGUUGGUAGUGGAAAAGCAUGCCAAGGGCAGGAUGCAUGGCUGGUCUGAGAGGAUGACCAGCUAGACUGGGACUGAGACACGGACCAGACUCCGACGCAAGGGAGCAGUGGGUAAUACUGGAGAAUGGGCGAAAGCGUGACACAGCAGUGCCGGGGGAGAGAUGAAGGGCUUAGGGUUGUAAAGCCCUUUGACCCGGGGUGAUAAUGACAGUAACGGGUGAAGAAGCACCGGCUAACUACGUG